UACGAAGGGGGCUAGCGUUGUUCGGAAUUACUGGGCGUAAAGCGCACGUAGGCGGAUAUUUAAGUCAGGGGUGAAAUCCCAGAGCUCAACUCUGGAACUGCCUUUGAUACUGGGUAUCUGGAGUAUGGAAGAGGAGAGUGGAAUUCCCGGUGUAGCGGUGAAAUGCGCAGAUAUCGGGAAGAACACCCGUGGCGAAGGCGGCUCUCUGGGACGGUACUGACGCUGAGACGCGAAAGCGUGGGGAGCGAACAGG
Molecule: ribosomal RNA, 253 nt
Filed under: uncultured bacterium
Lineage: Bacteria
Description: partial 16S ribosomal RNA
Rfam family: Bacterial small subunit ribosomal RNA
Source: RNAcentral